AACGAACGCUGGCGGCGUGUUUAAGACAUGCAAGUCGCACGGGAUCAUUUUGGUAGCAAUACUCGAAUGGUUUAGUGGCGCACGGGUGAGUAACAUGUGAAUGACAUGCCCUAUAGUGGGGAAUAGCCCAGGGAAACUUGGAUUAAUACCCCAUGGUCUCGCAAGAGUAAAGGUGGCCGCAAGGCUGUCGCUAUAGGAUUGGUUCGCACCCUAUCAGCUUGUUGGUGAGGUAACGGCUCACCAAGGCUACGACGGGUACCUGGUCUGAGAGGACGAUCAGGCACACUGGAACUGAGACACGGUCCAGACACCUACGGGUGGCAGCAGUCGAGAAUAAUUCACAAUGGGGGCAACCCUGAUGGUGCAACGCCGCGUGGAGGAUGAAGGUCUUCGGAUUGUAAACUCCUGUCAUCUGGGAGUAAGACCUGGCCGUGAAUAGCGGACAGGGUUGAUAGUACCAGAAGAGGAAGGACCGGCCAACUACGUGCCAGCCGCCGCUGUAA
This 503-nucleotide ribosomal RNA is filed under the name uncultured bacterium. RNAcentral describes it as "partial 16S ribosomal RNA". It matches the Rfam family "Bacterial small subunit ribosomal RNA", at positions 29 to 523 of the family's 1533-position model. The record is from RNAcentral.